UUAAUACUCCCUCCGUCCUAAAAUACUUGUCGGGGAAAUGGAUGUAUCUAAAGUAUUUUAGUUAUAGAUACAUCCAAUUUUAUCCAUCUCUCAGACGAGUAUUUCGGGACGGAUGGAGUAUUUG
Triticum aestivum (bread wheat) is the source of this 124-nucleotide non-coding RNA. Lineage: Eukaryota; Viridiplantae; Streptophyta; Magnoliopsida; Poales; Poaceae. The record is from Rfam.